This 577-nucleotide ribosomal RNA is filed under the name uncultured bacterium. RNAcentral describes it as "bacterial SSU rRNA". It matches the Rfam family "Bacterial small subunit ribosomal RNA", at positions 102 to 674 of the family's 1533-position model. The record is from RNAcentral.
ACGGGUGAGUAACGCGUGGGAAUCUACACUUUAGUGAAGAAUACCCCAGAGAAAUCUGGGUUAAUACUGCAUACGUUCCUUCGGGAAGAAAGAUGGCCUCUUUGCUGUCGCUGAAGAAUGAGCCCGCGUACUAUUAGCUAGUUGGUAGGGUAAAGGCCUACCAAGGCGAGGAUGGUUAGCCGGCCUGAGAGGGUGUACGGCCACAUUGGAACUGAGACACGGUCCAGACUCCUACGGGAGGCAGCAGUGAGGAAUAUUGCGCAAUGGACGAAAGUCUGACGCAGCGACGCCGCGUGGAGGAUGAAGGCCUUCGGGUUGUAAACUUCUGUUAAGUGGGAAGAAAUACGCAAGCCUAAUAAGCUUGCGGGCUGACGGUACCACUAGAGAAAGCACUGGCUAAUCUCGUGCCAGCAGCCGCGGUAAUACGAGAGGUGCAAGCGUUAUUCGGAAUUAUUGGGCGUAAAGGGUGCGCAAGCGGCAUAUUAAGUCAACUGUCUUAAUUUCUCAGCCUAACUGGUGAGUCAUGCGGUAGAUACUGGUGUGCUUGAGGAUGGAAGAGAGAAGUGGAAUUCUCGGA